CCACUGGCAACCUGCAAUCUAUCUUCCAAUGAUAAAAUGGUGGAGACGGAGCAAUACUUUCAUUUUGUGCAUUACCAAUGCAUGGUCUUGGAUUGGGGGAGUGACUGGCUGAGAGCACUCAGUUGACACUCUCAGCCUUUAAGUGCCCACUAUGCCUGAUAUGGCACAAAGUGAAGCAUCCAGUGAGUGAAAAAAUAUUUUAUCCCCUGCUGAUUUUGAAUAUUUACCCACUGACAAAAUGGUAAUGGUAGGUGUAUUUUAACAGUGAGAUACAGAAUAACAAAACAAAACAUAAUUUCCAGAAAAACGCAUGUCAAAAAAGUUUAAACUGAUUUACAUUGC
This is a non-coding RNA of Pelobates cultripes (western spadefoot toad), 342 nucleotides long. Lineage: Eukaryota; Metazoa; Chordata; Amphibia; Anura; Pelobatidae. The record is from the annotation of a GenBank genome assembly.